RNAcentral lists this ribosomal RNA (231 nucleotides) under uncultured bacterium. RNAcentral describes it as "partial 16S ribosomal RNA". It matches the Rfam family "Bacterial small subunit ribosomal RNA", at positions 116 to 339 of the family's 1533-position model. The record is from RNAcentral.
CGUAGACAACUUGCCCAGAGAUUUGGGAUAACAUCGAGAAAUUGAUGCUAAUACCGAAUAAUAUCACGGACACCCCGGUGUCUGUGAUCAAAGGUGGCUUCGGCUACUGUCUCUGGAUGGGUCUGCGUCUGAUUAGCUAGUUGGUGAGGUAAUGGCUCACCAAGGCGACGAUCAGUAGCUGGUCUGAGAGGAUGAUCAGCCACACUGGGACUGAGACACGGCCCAGACUCC